This 200-nucleotide ribosomal RNA is filed under the name uncultured organism. Its description in RNAcentral is "partial small subunit ribosomal RNA". It matches the Rfam family "Bacterial small subunit ribosomal RNA", at positions 1184 to 1382 of the family's 1533-position model. The record is from RNAcentral.
GUCAAAUCAUCAUGCCCCUUAUGACCUGGGCUACACACGUACUACAAUGGCCGGUACAACGGGAAGCGAAGGAGCGAUCCGGAGCCAAUCCUACCAAAGCCGGUCUCAGUUCGGAUUGCAGGCUGCAACUCGCCUGCAUGAAGUCGGAAUUGCUAGUGGUCGCGGAUCAGCAUGCCGCGGUGAAUACGUUCCCGGGUCUU